RNAcentral lists this unclassified non-coding RNA (263 nucleotides) under plant metagenome. Its description in RNAcentral is "partial contains small subunit ribosomal RNA, internal transcribed spacer 1, and 5.8S ribosomal RNA". The record is from RNAcentral.
UUUCCGUAGGUGAACCUGCGGAAGGAUCAUUAUUGUAUAACCGAGGUGCGAGGGCUGUCGCUGACCCGAAAGGUCGUGCACGCCCGUGUGCCCUCACACACAUCCAUCUCACCCCUAUGUGCACCACCGCGUGGGUCCCCCUUUGGCUUGUUCGGAGGGGGGCUUACGUUUUCACACAAACUUUGUAUGCAGUGUAGAAUGUAUUUUUUGUUUUUGUGAUCACGCAAUCAAUACAACUUUCAACAACGGAUCUCUUGGCUCUC